RNAcentral lists this long non-coding RNA (10997 nucleotides) under Eucalyptus grandis. RNAcentral's name for it is "long non-coding RNA (EGRA_LNC001078)". Lineage: Eukaryota; Viridiplantae; Streptophyta; Magnoliopsida; Myrtales; Myrtaceae. The record is from RNAcentral.
CCUCCAGUAAUCGCCAUACUCCACGAAGGCCAUAUCGAGGGAGUCAUAGGUGAGGCGUCCUGUGCCGACCAGCCGUGGGCGACUGCAACAAUCGAGGUCAUGGGUCUUGAGGACCUCCCUGGCGGCUUCAGGGGAGGACGUUACGAUGGUAGGGACACCGCCGAGGCGGAUGAACAUGACGGGGCCAUACCGUCUGGAGAGUUUCCACAGAGACUGAUGAGGCAAAUGGCCGAGUUGGUGGAGGUUGCCUAUGAUGGGGAGUGGUGGAGGCCCUGGAGGGAGGUUCUUCUUUUUGUUAUUGAAGUUUUUCACUGAGAGGAGGAAAAGGAGGAGAGGAAGGGAAACAGCAAGCCACGUGAAGAGGAUGUGAAGAGCCAUUGUCGGGAUGGUUAUGUGCAGUAAGAAUACUUAAAAUGUUGAGUUAAUUUGGCGUGGUUGAGUAGUGUUAUAUACAAAAUGGAUGCUGAAGAAUCAACUCUUGGAAUUGAUACAUAGACUUUUCUGAUCUGUCUGUAGUGACGAUUUUUCUCUGAUUAUCCACAGACAAAAAUGGUGGAUGAAUCCAUGAUGAUCACUUCUUGCAUAAUAUGACCGAUUCAUAACAUGUUGAUGUUCAAGAAGAUAUUGAUUCCUAAUUGGAAUCUGCAGCUUCAUCCUAAAGAUUUUCAAGUUGUUUCAACAUUAUUAGUUACCAAGGGGCCUCAAAAAGUAAAGGGCGUGUGUUUGACAUGCUUGACUUCUCCAAUUAUAAAGGAAACUUAAAAACAUCUACCAUCUUCAAUUUUGUUAAGAAAAUUCCAAUAAAGCACCUUGCUUUGCCGUGAUAGUCAGGAUAACAAGAAAUUGUCAAUGGACACAAAGGAGAUUAUUUGAAAGAGUCAACAUAUUUCUCAUCUUGUCUUAUUUUACCGAUAUAUUAUCAUGGAUGGAUAAUUUUCUCAACAUGAAACAAUUUACAUUCAUGCUACUCAAACUUGAUUCGCAUCAACUACAGGCUUGAGUUUGGCCUUGUAUACCUUGCAUUAUUAAAAACAAUUUGUACACGCAUUGAAUUUGUGAAACUAGAUAUUGUACCGCGGUUCUCAUUCAUCGAAUUUCUCAAAUGAUUUCUUUUCAUGCAUGGCCUUAUGAAAAGUCUUGCUUUGAACUCAAUGGAAAAAGGCCGAGAAUUUUCAUUAGAUUACUUGAAUGUAUAUUACUUUCAUAAAGGUACUACGCUAAACGAUUGUUUGAGAUAUCACUUUGGUGGGCUGCCAAUGAAAAUUUAUGCUAUGUAAUCGAAAGUUUUUUUUUUUUUUUUUGGCACCGAGAGUUGUUAGUCCUAAUUAAUUAUGAAGGUUUUCAAGUAUAUUGGUGCCAAAAAAGUCCUAAACCUUUUGUAUUUGUGCUGAUUUAGUCCUAAACCUUUUUUUAGUGCUGAUUUAGUCCUAAACAUUUUUACGUUGUGCAAAUUCAGUCAUUUCUAGCCAAUUUUGGUCAGAAUUUGCUGACUAGACGCCAGUCAGCUUACGUGGCCUGACCGAUGCUGACAUGGACUACUUUUAAUAAUAUUUUAAUAUUUUUGAAUUUUUUUUUCUUUUUUUCUUCUCAUCUUCUUCCUCCAGUCGGUCGCCAGACCUCGUCGCCUGGCUCAACCUCGCCGGCCACCUCGCCAAUGGCUGCGAGAGUGACCUUGCACUGGGCGGGAAGGCUCGCCCUUGCUAGAUCUAGCCAAGGCGAGCCUCACCUGCCUGGCGCGAGGCCGCCCUUAAGGCCUAGGCAGCGAGCCUCGCCCAUGGCCGGCGAGGGCGAGCCCCGCCAGCUCAGUGCAAGGAGGCAGCCGAAUUCAGUCCUCGAGGCCUAUCGUCGUCCUCCUCCGACAUGUCGACACCCGGCGGCAUGGAGGCAAGCUUUGCGGCGCGCGCCGAGAGCACCUUCUCGACGAUUUUCAGGCUUGGGUCUUCGUUCACUUUGUGACAUCCGAAUUUCGCCGGACCUCGAAUAUGUAACUGUCUGAGACGGGUUGACGAAUUUAUCAUCGGAUUACGUCAUUGGCACUACUUACGACCCCAUUUCAUCACCAUCGCUAGACCGAGACAUCACGUUUCGUGAUGGUCUUAUGACAUACCCUCGUGGUCAUGUCUUUGCCACGUCGAGACGAUCUGAUUUUCAUAUAUCUUAUCGUCUCGUCGAAAAUCUUCUUACGUAACACCAUCCGCGAGACCAAGAUUCUUUCCAACUAACACGUUGCCAAGCCAUUUUUCGUGAAGACGUCCGUUGUCUCUCACGCGUGCGUGCACAAGGCAAGGGACCGAGAAUUCUUCAGUCCAUGUGCAUGCAGAAACAAGGAACCCACGGCCACGUCUUUUCCUUUGUUUAACCAGUCAACCAAGAGGAAAUUGUUGACCCAUGCAGCCUUCACGAACCGGUCCUUCUUCAUGCAGCAUCCGAAGACACGCCGCACCAAAUUGCUUCUCCCAUCGACAGCCAUUUGGACCCCAUUUAGUUGAAUCGGGCAGUCAACUAAAUGAUGGGCACGUAAGUGCAUGGAGCAGCAGGUGUCGUGGACGAAGGGGAAAGAACUUCCCAUGCAAAGACACGGAAACAUGGAGUUGUCCCCGUCCACUGCUGCCACGAAAUUUGGACUGUUGACGUGCGCGCGCUCCUAUCCUUCUUCGGCCAGCAGGCUUCGAAACUCAUGCAUACGGAAGACACGUCCUCUCCAGCUGCUGCUCGCCCGAAGAGCCACCGAAUCAGCCCAUUGUUGACUCUUAAAGUCAACAAAAAUAACCCACGAAUACCUCACUUUUCCCUCUCACGCUCGGCAGUUGUUACAUCCUCUCGACGCCCAUCUUUCUCUCUUUCUCGGUGUUUUUCUCUCUCUCGGCGCCCAAAUUCUCUGUCUUCUUUCUUCAUUUUCAGCGGUGAUUGCAUCGCAGAAAACCCAGAAUUCCUUCACCAUGUCAAUCGUAAUUUGUUGUUCCGCCCAUACUUCGUCGGCCACUCGCACCACACCGCCGCACCACCCACGCCACCAACCUCCUGCGCCACUGUAGACCCAAGUUUCGAUCGCUAUCGCGUCAUUGUCGCCGUGAACCGGUGUAUUUGCUAACCCGGUGAGUUUAUGCACUAAACUCUUCUUAGUAGGCUAAUGACAUUUAAGGGGUAUUUACAUUAAUUUAAGUGUAAUUAAUUUAAUUAUUAAAUAUUUUUUGGAAAUAAGGCCGGGGUAGUCGAUGAUCGGAAUUUUGUAUUGAUUGCAAUGAUGUAGUUAAUUUCUGCAAUCGAGUGUUAAAUUGUGAAAAUUGAGUGCUGAUCGGAAAUUUGGUCAUUUAUUUCAAAAUUUGUGAAUUUCAAUAUUUAUUUAAAAAAUCCCGGGUGUCGGGUUUUAAACACCGAAAAUGGUUUUAUAUAAUAUAUAAACCAGUGGGAUUUUGAAAAGAAGGUUAUGAAUUUUCCAGGUUCAAUCUAAUCGUAUACCCACACACAACUAUUUUUCUUCGGAAGUUUUUAAUAUGAAGAAAAUAGGGCAGGAACACUAUUUUAAUUGAGGCAUUUGAGUGCAAUGCACGGUGUCCUAGGCCGAGAUUGAUUGGUCGUGCGUUGGUUAAGAGAACCCGUCCCCGAACUGUGUCGGAUGGACGUUAUCCUAUAUGGGUUACCCACUUAUUGGGUUUUGGGUCACAAUAGAUUCUGGACCUAUGCUCAUUCGAGAAAGCUGUCUUUGAGAGACAUAGCCGUGCUCAAUGAGGUGAGGAUGCCUGGCUACGCCAGUAGACCGCCGAACUUCAAGUAGGCCGUGCCCUAGAGUGGGCGUAAUUAUCAAUUGGAACGCAUGUUGAGUGAAAUAUAUGUGCCAGAUUAUGGGACAAAAUUGUAUAACAUGGAAUGAGACGUGUCAUAACGAUUUGGCCAUAUAAUCAGGACCCCUGUGCUCAUUUGAGAAUUGAGUAUGGCGUUCCAGUUAUUGAAGCUUAAUUAUUGCUCGUACCGGUAUGGCUAUCUAUGAUAUAAACUGUACUGACCUGUAAGGUAGAUCUGAGGCGAGGUAAGUCAUCUAUACCAAAUGCGUGAUUGUGUGGUUAGGACGCCUUUGGGCAUAUUACCCUCCUAAUCGAGGUUUAGAGCAUGGACUUGCUGGGACAUUAUCUCAUUGGUUAUUGAAUAACCAUUUUCAGGUCCUUAGAAGGUGGUUGUGGAGGACCAAGGCCCCGAACUCUGAGGAGGAGGAUUAUGGAGGAUCGGCGGAUGUGUCCUGUUAGUAUGUCAUAGGAUAACCUCUUUUGAGAGUCGACCUUCCUGUAGGCUUUCAACUAGACUCGUUUUGUACUUGAAUCUCGUUGUUCAUAAAAGUGUGCUUUUGUGAAUUGAUGUCCUACUUUUCUAUCCUGAGAUGAUUACUGUCAGGGGAUUUAUUUUCGCUUCCGCAUAUGCUUAAAAAUGAAUGGGUUGGUGACUCAUCAUCGGAAGUCACAAAUUUUAUCGACCAAAGAGGGAUGGGCAUGUGCUUGAGGUUUGGGGCAUGACACGCUUCUUUGUCGUUGUCGUCAUUGCUGUUGUCGCCAAGCGGCAUUGCGGACUUCAACUUGUGCUCCACGUCGUCUCCUUCGCCGCCAUCGGCUUCGCUCUCCUCCCCAUGCUCCUCAUGCCAAGCUGGCGAGGCUUGCCCUUGCCAGCCAUGGGCGAGGCUCGACCUCGCUAAAUCCGAUAAGGGCGAGCCUCGCCGCCAAGGCCUCGAGGGUAACCUUGUGCCGAGCGGGCAAGCCUCGCCACCCAGCGCGAGGCCGCCCUCGCAGCCAUUGGCGAGGUGGCUGGUGAGGUUGACCUCGACCUCACCAGUCGUCGCCUCUGGCUGAUCGCCGAGGUUCAACAACCGGCUGGAGGAAGAAGAGGAGAAGAAAAAAAUAAUAAUAAAUAAUAAAUAAUAAAAAGAAAAAAAUCAAUAACAUUAAAAUAUUAUCAAAAGUAGUCCACAUCAGCGUUGAUCAGACCACGUUAGUCGACCAGCAUCCAGUUAACAAAUUCCAGCCGACCAGCAUCCAGUUAACAAAUUCCGGCCAAAGUUGGCCGGAAAGAACUAAAGUGGCACAACAUAAAAAGGUUUAGGACUUUUUUGGCACUUUUCCACUAUGUAAUCGAAUUUUUUUUUUUUUUUUGCACCGAGAGUUGUUAGUCCUAAUUAAUUAUGAAGGUUUUCAAGUAUAUUGGUGCAUGAGAAAGAUCGAUAUUAUUUCAAGAGCACUACAUAGGGGCAUAUAUGUCCUUUAGAAUGAUAUUCACCGAACAAUUGAUAGGAUAAGAUAUAAAAACGUCAAACUAUAGAUCCGUAGUUCACCAAAUAAUAAAUAGGAUAUGACAAAAUUAUUCAAACCUUUUCUAACUAGAAAUCUGGAAGACCAAAUGCAAUUUUAUAUCCAAUUUUGUUAGAGCAAUUAGCUAAUUGCAUUGGAUUUGGGUGAUUUUCCAUUAUAUCACGAUAAUGUAUAUACAGGACAUGAGGCUUCUGAAAGUUUGUUGACACCUAAAAAUACCCCCACGAGUAUGUGCAAGGCACGAGGGACAGAAAGCUCUAAAGCCACCAUCACAACCAUAUAUUAGUUAUAAUCCACAUUGGUCCAGCCCAAAAAAUCCAUACGAUACAAGAUAAUUAAGGAUUUUGAGAAAUUUUGGGCUGAAUUUCGACAAAUAAAGAUAUGUAAUAUCAUGAUGAAGCAACAGAACACCACGUGUUGAAGCCAGAGAUCAAUGAUGAAGAUAUAGCCUUAGUGGUAAAAAUAGGCGGGAACAGUUAAAAAGGCAUCAAACUCGAAAGAGGAGCGGUUAAUACUCACUGGACAAGUCAUGACACUAUUAUCGAACAAGUAUGGAUAAGGCAGUUUAGCAUGAAAUGUGGAGUGACUCUUGAGGAGAAAGUAACCGACUAAUUGACGGUUACCAAGUUGGCUUAUAAAUAUCACAAGCUAUCCAAUAGACAACCCCCCCCCCCCCACCAAACAACACACAAAACUACUUUAUAUUGCAUUUAUCUUUACUUAGCUUUAGUCUAACAAUAGCUUAAGAUUCUCAUCAUAGAUUCAAUUUUGGCAAGUGUCUAUAUUCUGGGAAGUGCUGUCAAUUAGGCCCUAUUUGGAAAAUUUUUGUUUUUGUUCCCUGGAACACAAUUUUUCUUCUUUUGUUCCGGGGAACAAAAAAAGAAUAUAAACACGUUUGUUUACAUUUUUGUUCCAGAGAACAAAUUUGGAACAGAAACAAGAAGUGGAAAAAACAUGUUUCUUAUUUCCAUAAACACUUAUGAGAAACACUUUUUUUUUCUCUUUCUUUUCUUCUUCUUUUUUCUCUUUCUUUUCUUCUUCUUCUUCUUCCUUUUACCAGUCACCAGCCUUGGCCAUGGCCAGCACCGGCAACCAUCCAAACGAGGGCCGGCAACCUCAUCGGAGCGUCGCCGGCCCCUGGAGAGGCUGAUCCACGGCGAGGCUCGUCGGCCCGAGCCUUGUGCGGCCACGGCGAGGCUUGACCACCCCAACCGGCGCGAGGUCGGGCCUUGCCAGGCCAAGGCGAGGCCAACCUCGCGCUGCCUAGGUGAGGCCAAGCUAGGCUGGCCUCCGACGAGCUCACCGGACGUCAUUCAGCCGGUCGCCGACCACGACCAUGGCCGACGACUGGCCAAAGAGAAAAAGAAAAAAUAAAAAAGAAAAAAGGAAAAAUAUAAUAAAAAUUUUAAAAAAUUAAACGAAACAAAAAAAUUAUACAAGUUUACCAAAUGCGUUUCUAUUCCUGGAGUAGAAAUUUUUUGCAAUUACCAAACGCGUUCUUAUACUCAUAAAUUGUUCCCUGGAACAAAAAAAAAAAACUAUUUCUAUUCAAAAAUUGUUCCUCGGAACAAAAAAGUUACCAAACGCGCCCUUAGAUUCCAAUACUAACCCAUUGUCUAGCGUCGCUGAUUAGAUUCCGGCAUUAUGUCCUCAUCCUCAUCUAGAGACGGUGUUCAUUAGAUGUUGCAUUUGUCUAGAAUUAUUGGUUAGAUUCCAACAUUAUGUUCAUGCACGCACCUAGGAAUAGUGUAUACUAGGUGUUGUCUACACUAUUCAGCGUCAUUGAUUAGAUUCUGACAUUGUAUCCUCGUAUCUAUCUUAGAUCGGUGUCUACUAGGUGUUAUCCACACUAUCUAACAUCGUUAAUUAGAUUCAGAUGUUGUGUCCUUAAACUUAGUAGAAGGUAGCGCUUUAUCAAGCAUCUUGUUCAUAUCCAAUGUUGUCGAAGUGCCUUCACUAUUGUAUUAUUUUUUUUAGGUCGGUUCAUUAUUGUAUAGACUACUUUAAUUUUAAUGGGCUUUAAUUAUUUUAAUGAUGUCAUUAAUUAGGUUUCAAUAUUAAUUACCGUUGAUAUUGAAGGUUUGAUAGGUUAGCUAAUUCUUUGAUUUCAAGAUUAUAAGGUGUAUAGUCUCAUUCGCAUUUGACCCUCUUUAUUUAAAGUUAAUACAAAACCUGAGUCUCAUUCAAUAAAAAAUUAAAAUAUAAUACUUGGUGAAAGAUAUUUUAUUGCGAGAUCCAAAAUGACUAAACAAAGUUAUAGAAAGAAAAUUGUCUUUGUUGUAACUCUAAAAACUUCUCUAGAAUUCAUGACAACUUUUCUCCAUCAGGAUAUUUCGUCGCUGGUUUGUGCAAGUUGUCUUUGUUUGGCCAAAAAGAAGAGUAGUAUUUGUCUAGAAAUUUUUGGCCCUUUAUUACCUCAUUUGGAGAGGCUUCCUACCUUCCAAUACACUGGUGGGGCUAAAAUAACGGACUCUACACUUACAAAUGAAUUGAGCGGUUAUAACAUGAACCAUGCGGGUGUGAAUCCCAUAUAAUUACUAUUAGAAGAAUAGCCGUGAAGGUCACUUCUGCCCACCGUAUUGUGUAGAAAAAAAAAGGCAUGACUUACUAGUCACUACUAAGCAAAAUUUUUCAGUCCGAUUCCACAAACUACUUUCCACUAGUGUUAAUUCACAAUUUGGAGUUUGGAUCUCAUUAAAUUACAUGAUCAUUUUUCAUGCUAAAAUCUGCUGUUCAUCCUCUUUUAGGUUUGAGAGAUUGAUAUUCUUUUAAUAUUUUUACUUCUUGUGAAAAAAAAAAAAACUAAUACACAGGGGCAGUAAAUUUGUAUUUUAUUUGAAACUGCAAGUGUUUCGGGAGAUUAUUUCAAUUAAUUACGAGCAUGCUUCAAAUGAAUAAAAUAUAUAUUACUAUUCUCUAAUGACUGAACUUUCUAAUAACACGCUAUAACUCAACAAGCGGCAUUACUCUUAUUCAAAAAUAUUAAAACCAAAAAAAAUAAAAAUUUGAUUGAUGUUGAAUCGACCCAUGCAAGUAAAAGGCUUUUAACUCUCAAAGUAAUUUGAGCUCAUGGGAAGCAAAUACAAUUUGUUAAUGCAAAAAUGACUCGCUCAACUGAUGGUCCCCCUUCAAUAAUCACAAUGCACAAAUUCCUCUAAUGGGUCUGUUUAUUAUUUGCCCUGGAGACAAUAUACUCAACGAGUCUUAUUUUCCAUAUAUAUGGAGAUGUUGCAUACUAGAAUAUUGUACCGUACAAUUUUAAGACGCUUGAUCAUAAUCAAGUACAAGACGUUGUGAAACAUGAUGUUUUACAUUUGUCGACACUUUCGUCAUGCGUCAAUUUUAUGCGAUGCCUUUAUCGGCAACAGAGUGAGAGGCACUUUCUUGAACACGGCUAGGCCAGCCCCUUCUUCCAUGUUCACAUCUCCCUCUGUCAUUCCCUCCGGCAAUUCCCAAUCGAAGGAGUGCAAGACAUUGGCAAGCGCCAGCUCGAUCAUCGCCAUGACCAUCGACAUCCCAGGGCAUCGCCUCCGCCCGGCCCCAAAUGGUAUCAGCUCGAAAUGAUUCCCCUUGUAAUCGAUUGGACUGUCCUCGAACCUCUCCGGCACAAACUCCUCCGGACGCUCCCACAGUCCUGGGUCCCGUCCCAUGCCCCACGCAUUCACGUAGACACAGCACUUCGGGUCGACAUCGUAGCCAGAUAGCUUGAAGUGGCCAAUGGUUUCCCUUGGUAUGAGUAGAACACCUGGAGGGUGUAGCCUCAUAACUUCUUUAAGAACUAACUUCAAAUAUUUGAGCCCGCUGAGGUCCUCUUCUACGACCCAUUUCUUGUUUCCAACGCAACUUCGGAUUUCCUCUCGAGCUUUUCGCAUCACCCUCGGGUUCCUAGCGAGCUCAGCCAUUGUCCAGUCCAUGACAACUGCACCGGUGUCCACUCCUCCGAGAAAUAUAUUCUGAUAGUGACCAUGAAGUCAUGAUUCACAAAAAAGACAAAUACAUCAAUUUUUGCCAGGAUAUCGUUUAUAGCCAAAAAAGAGGACGGUGAAUCCAUUUAAGGAGUUCUUAAAUUAUUCCUGCAAUAUAUAGAACCAUCAAGUUGGCUUCUCAAUCGUGUAUAUGAUCUACAUUAAGUAAUACGUAGAGAUUGUAUGAUAUACCAUCAAGAUGGCCUUGAUGUUAUCUUCCUUGAGCCGGACCCCCGCGAGCUCAGUCUGAUCUUUCUCCAUCUUCAGCAGCACAUCGACAAUGUCCUCCUUUCCCUCGUUGCUCUUAUUCGCAUUCCGAUGCUCUUCGAUCACCUUCUGAUAGAGAUCGUCCAAAUUGCGAAAGCUCUUCUCCAACCUCGAAUGGAGCCCCGUGAACCUGUCCACAAUCCAGCCGAGUCGAGGGAAAUAAUCAGAUGCCGAGAAGCUUCCCAACAUCGCCAUUCCCUCGUGAACCAUAUCCAUGAACCCUUCGUCUUCCAACUCCGUCCCCUGAAAUGGCUUCCCAAAUGCGACCCUGCAUGUAAGGUGUGUAAUCAAGUCAGAAUUUCUUGUGAGCGAUUCAUGCUUGGCUCUCAGGCUAGACAAGCUUCGGCUUGGGGUAUUGACUUGAAUCAAGUCUGAACUUGAUAAUAGCUAAACAAUCAGGUAACUUGCGACACUGAAUCUUAUCGAGUAUAGUCAAGUUCGAACAUAGAACUCACUGUCAGGUUGAGCUCUAGUUCAUAGAACCAGGCUCAAUAUAUUGUCAAACCUCGAAGAAUUUGAGUAGUAACUAAAGAUGGAAAGAUCGGUUAAAAACUCACUUUUUAACUUAAAUUUAGUGGGUUGAGUUAUAUGUGGUUUAGUGAAAAGUUAAAAAAAAAAAAAAAAAAGUCGGUAUGUGCUUACAGUAGUAAAGCCCAACUAGACAUGGGUUUUGCGGGGUCCAAAUUCCUUACGAUAUUCAAGAGUUCGUAACUGACGAAUUUCGUCACUUCCACAAUUGAAAUUCUCUCUCCUACAUACUCUAUUCCACAAUCAUUCCUAAAUUAGAAAGUUUUCUUUUUCUUAUAUAAAUGAUAAAAACAACUUCAUUUUCUAAUUUCCCACGCCAGGAGAAAUAACAGAUCUUAUCAUAGUUUGAUUUGUCAAUUUUUUUGGUAAUUUACUAUUCGCUAAUUUCUUCAUAUUUAAUCAGUUUUUAAUCGGUAGGUUUUUCAAUAUGCUAUUUUCCAUAUAUGAAGAGAAAAACUGCUAAUCAGUUUUUAAUCGGGUUGGGUUGGUUGGAUUGGAUCGGGUGUGGGUCGUUAAGAUGGAUCAGUAUAAUUAGAUAGAUAACUUAAUCUUGACCACUAUGCCCAACCUGCAAGUGAAGUUAGCCGUCAGAGCCAUGAACUUCUCGCUCAUAUUAACCGGAGUUCCGCUCUCUGCUGAUUUUGCGAUCGAUUCGAUCAUAGAUCCCACCUCCUCUUCCCUGAUGUAUCGGAAGGACUGGACUCGCUUCAUGCUAAACAGCUCGAGCACACACAGCGUCCUUAACUCCCUCCAGUAAUCGCCGUACUCCACGAAGGCCACGUCGAGGGAAUCAUAGGAGAGGCGUCCCGUGCCGACCAUCUGCGGGCGACUGCAACUAUCAAGGUCGUGGGUCUUGAGGACCUCCCUGGCAGCAUCAGGGGAGGAGAUUACGAUGGUAGGGGUGCCACCGAGGCGGAUGAGCAUGACGGGGCCAUAUCGUCUGGAG